AUGGGUUAAGACAUUUGAAUCCGAAGAAAUUUGAAUACUGCUUACCAUACGUAUAUAAUCAAUCCCUCAAAGGAAGAUGAGAGUAUUAGUCUAAAUAUCGUGUAUCCUCCAUUGGAACCAAACCCUGUUGUCACCAAGUUUGAUUGGGAGUUGGAUGAUCUUGAGAAACUCACUGGUCUGCUGAUUGAUGAAAAGAAAUUGACUGAAGAUCAGAAGGAUGCCUUCAAGAAACAUGUCGAGGAAAAGGUUGAAGAAGCAAAAAGAGCUAUCCAGCUUGCAAAGGAAAAGCGAGAAGAAACGUGUGCAGAGAUAAUUCGUGCAUAUGAGAAGAUGGAGUUCUAUAAAUUCAAGUCUCCAUUCAUUAACCGGUACUACGGAAGCGCACAUCACCUACUUUGACUAAAAUUCCAAGCGUACAAAUGUUUUGUUUUCUAGAAUUUGAUUAUGAAGCAAUGAUUCUAAGUUCUAACUAAAGUAUGUGAAAUUGUUCAUGUUCGCAUCUCUA
Molecule: non-coding RNA, 505 nt
Organism: Lactuca sativa (garden lettuce)
Lineage: Eukaryota; Viridiplantae; Streptophyta; Magnoliopsida; Asterales; Asteraceae
Source: RefSeq, a predicted model, not a curated record